This 232-nucleotide ribosomal RNA is filed under the name uncultured bacterium. RNAcentral's name for it is "partial 16S ribosomal RNA". It matches the Rfam family "Bacterial small subunit ribosomal RNA", at positions 103 to 334 of the family's 1533-position model. The record is from RNAcentral.
CGGGUGAGUAGCGCGUGAGUAACCUGCCCUGGAGUGGGGACAACAGUUGGAAACGACUGCUAAUACCGCAUAAGCCCACGGAUCCGCAUGGAUCUGCGGGAAAAGGAUUUAUUCGCUUCAGGAUGGACUCGCGUCCAAUUAGCUAGUUGGUGAGGUAACGGCCCACCAAGGCGACGAUUGGUAGCCGGACUGAGAGGUUGAACGGCCACAUUGGGACUGAGACACGGCCCAG